CCGGCCCGGCCCUCAGCCCCCGGCCCGGCCCUCAGCCCCCGCCGGCCCUCAGCCCCCGGCCCGCGCUCCCCGCCCCGCCGAGCCGUGCCUCAGCCUUUCCGCGGCCUCCCGGCUGCUGCUCCGGCUCACCUCUGCCCCCCACCUACCCUCAGCCAUUCUGCCUCCCCUCAGCCUUCUCCAUCUCCUCUCAGCGUCUCCUUCCCUACCUCCCCUUAGCCAGCCAUCCCGCCUCUCCUUAGCCUUCCUCCCCUCCUGUCGGCCUUCCCCAUCCCCUGGUGUCCCCCAGGCAGUCUCUGUGCCUCCCUCUGCCAUCCAGCUGACUCUGCACGCUGUCCCCAAAUCUCCCAGGAACGAGGAAGGUUCCCUGGCCACUGUAGCCCCCAGGGAGAUCCCUUCAUCUCAGCCACCAGCACGUCUUCAUGGUGCUCUUUCUCUCUAAACCUUGGACUGGAUGACCCACUGUGGUCCCUUCCAAUUUAGGAUUGCUUCUGUGAUUCUCUGCUGUCUAUUUCCCAGUGCAGAGCCUGUCCAAAUACAUUAUGCAGGUCAAGGGUGCCACAUCCCACACUUGAUGGCCUCUCAACUGCACAAACAGCCAGCAGAGAUCCCAAGACCACCAAGACCACCAUUCCAACCUACAUGUCACAGCACUCUGUGUGAUGUUCUCUACAUCAGGCUGGAGAAAGCAGGAGCCAGGAGACCCUCCAAGCUGCUCCAAGGGAAGCAUCCCGGCACAGGACCUUGGAAGAUCUACAUGCCAGUGCAGAAAUGGCCAGGAUUCUGCCUCUGCUGUCUGCUGGAGUCUGUAAAAUCCUUCCUGUCAGAGAUAACUAAUCCUGGGGCCUUUACAACACCUCUCCUGAAAAGCACAUUUCAUUCCUCUGUCUCCUCCUGCCUUCCAAGUGCAUGAGAUUGCAAUAGGUAUUUCCAAAAAUAUUCCCCAUGAGAGCCGACACUGGACUCCCUUAAAACCUAAACACCAUCACCCCUCCUUUCCCAAGACACAAGUGAGCACUAUGCUCUAUUAUCUCUACACCCACUAAAUCUUUCUGAAAUAAAGAAUAAACAUUUCCACCACACAUAGUGUAAGUGUGUGUGCCAAGCUGC
Long non-coding RNA from Taeniopygia guttata (zebra finch), 1107 nucleotides. RefSeq lists it as uncharacterized. NCBI's taxonomy places the organism in Eukaryota, Metazoa, Chordata, Aves, Passeriformes, Estrildidae. The record is from RefSeq and is a predicted model, not a curated record.